Molecule: ribosomal RNA, 368 nt
Filed under: uncultured Glomeromycotina
Lineage: Eukaryota; Fungi; Glomeromycota
Description: LSU rRNA
Source: RNAcentral
UUGAAAGGGAAACGAUUGAAGUCAGUCGUGCUGGCGCGAAAUCAACCUUCUCGUCUCGAGAUCACAUGGCGUGGCGAGCCUCAAAACCGUCACGAAGCGUGAACUCUUGGUGAAAUGGAGCACUUUCGUGUCCGCUGGUUAACAUCAAUUUCGAACGUCAUAAAAAGGCUGGAGGGAUGUGGCUCCUUCGGGAGUGUUAUAACCUUUAGCGGAAUGUGGUGGUCGGGAUUGAGGAUUGCAACGAAUACCUUUGGGGCUGUUCCACCUGGCUUCUCAUUGGUAUCCUGGUGACGACAGCUUGCUGACGUUGUUAGGAUUCGCCUUUGAACAGGCUAGAGUGUGAGCAAAUCGUUAAGGAUGUUGACGUA